RNAcentral lists this ribosomal RNA (459 nucleotides) under uncultured bacterium. RNAcentral describes it as "partial 16S ribosomal RNA". It matches the Rfam family "Bacterial small subunit ribosomal RNA", at positions 338 to 795 of the family's 1533-position model. The record is from RNAcentral.
CCUACGGGUGGCAGCAGUGAGGAAUAUUGGUCAAUGGGCGCGAGCCUGAACCAGCCAAGUCGCGUGAGGGAAGACGGUCCUAUGGAUUGUAAACCUCUUUUGUCGGGGAGCAAAAGACGCCACGCGUGGCGUUCCGAGAGUACCCGAAGAAAAAGCAUCGGCUAACUCCGUGCCAGCAGCCGCGGUAAUACGGAGGAUGCGAGCGUUAUCCGGAUUUAUUGGGUUUAAAGGGUGCGUAGGCGGGACCUUAAGUCAGCGGUAAAAUUGCGGUGCUCAACGCCGUAGAGCCGUUGAAACUGGGGUUCUUGAGUGAGCGAGAAGUAUGCGGAAUGCGUGGUGUAGCGGUGAAAUGCAUAGAUAUCACGCAGAACCCCGAUUGCGAAGGCAGCAUACCGGCGCUCAACUGACGCUGAGGCACGAAAGUGCGGGUAUCGAACAGGAUUAGAUACCCUAGUAGUC